AAACGACUCUCGGCAACGGAUAUCUCGGCUCACGCAUCGAUGAAGAACGUAGCAAAAUGCGAUACUUGGUGUGAAUUGCAGAAUCCCGUGAACCAUCGAGUUUUUGAACGCAAGUUGCGCCCAAAGCCAUCCGGCUAAGGGCACGCCUGCCUGGGCGUCAC
RNAcentral lists this ribosomal RNA (161 nucleotides) under Takhtajaniantha austriaca. Its description in RNAcentral is "Scorzonera austriaca 5.8S ribosomal RNA". It matches the Rfam family "5.8S ribosomal RNA". Rfam says of the family: 5.8S ribosomal RNA (5.8S rRNA) is a component of the large subunit of the eukaryotic ribosome. It is transcribed by RNA polymerase I as part of the 45S precursor that also contains 18S and 28S rRNA. The record is from RNAcentral. Lineage: Eukaryota; Viridiplantae; Streptophyta; Magnoliopsida; Asterales; Asteraceae.